RNAcentral lists this small RNA (79 nucleotides) under Arabidopsis thaliana (thale cress). RNAcentral's name for it is "ATSL136680". Lineage: Eukaryota; Viridiplantae; Streptophyta; Magnoliopsida; Brassicales; Brassicaceae. The record is from RNAcentral.
AGCCCGAAGUUGAGGACGAUGAUGAUAACGAAGACGAUGACUCUGAUGACGAUGAUAAGGAUGAUGACGAGGCUGAUGG